AGUGAACGCUGGCGGUAGGCCUAACACAUGCAAGUCGAACGGCAGCACAGUAAGAGCUUGCUCUUACGGGUGGCGAGUGGCGGACGGGUGAGGAAUACAUCGGAAUCUACUUUUUCGUGGGGGAUAACGUAGGGAAACUUACGCUAAUACCGCAUACGACCUACGGGUGAAAGCAGGGGAUCUUCGGACCUUGCGCGAUUGAAUGAGCCGAUGUCGGAUUAGCUAGUUGGCGGGGUAAAGGCCCACCAAGGCGACGAUCCGUAGCUGGUCUGAGAGGAUGAUCAGCCACAUUGGAACUGAGACACGGUCCAGACUCCUACGGGAGGCAGCAGUGGGGAAUAUUGGACAAUGGGCGCAAGCCUGAUCCAGCCAUACCGCGUGGGUGAAGAAGGCCUUCGGGUUGUAAAGCCCUUUUGUGGGGAAAGAAAAGCAGCAGGUUAAUACCCCGCUGUUCUGACGGUACCCAAAGAAUAAGCACCGGCUAACUUCGUG
Molecule: ribosomal RNA, 492 nt
Filed under: uncultured bacterium
Lineage: Bacteria
Description: partial 16S ribosomal RNA
Rfam family: Bacterial small subunit ribosomal RNA
Source: RNAcentral